This 235-nucleotide long non-coding RNA is filed under the name Solanum tuberosum (potato). RNAcentral's name for it is "long non-coding RNA (STUB_LNC010627)". Lineage: Eukaryota; Viridiplantae; Streptophyta; Magnoliopsida; Solanales; Solanaceae. The record is from RNAcentral.
ACCCUUCUAUACCAAUUGGGAUCGAUCCAUACUAGGAAUUUUCCCCAGGUUUGCCACCCAUAAUUAUACAAAUAGCUUCACUUAAAACCUUUAUCUUUGAGAUUGUUGUUUUGAUGUUCAUAACUCUUUUGAGAUUGUUCUUUUGAUUUUGGUGGUCAUAAUCAUUGUUGAGAUUUGGAGCUAUGAACCACUAGUAGAAGACUUGUGAAUAUAGACUUACGAUAAUAACAAUGAC